RNAcentral lists this ribosomal RNA (253 nucleotides) under uncultured bacterium. Its description in RNAcentral is "partial 16S ribosomal RNA". It matches the Rfam family "Bacterial small subunit ribosomal RNA", at positions 524 to 776 of the family's 1533-position model. The record is from RNAcentral.
UACGAAGGGUGCAAGCGUUAAUCGGAAUUACUGGGCGUAAAGCGUGCGUAGGCGGUUUCUUAAGUCUGCUGUGAAAUCCCCGGGCUCAACCUGGGAAUGGCAGUGGAUACUGGGAAGCUAGAGUGUGUCAGAGGAUGGUGGAAUUCCCGGUGUAGCGGUGAAAUGCGUAGAGAUCGGGAGGAACAUCAGUGGCGAAGGCGGCCAUCUGGGACAACACUGACGCUGAGGCACGAAAGCGUGGGGAGCAAACAGG